RNAcentral lists this ribosomal RNA (722 nucleotides) under uncultured organism. RNAcentral describes it as "bacterial SSU rRNA". It matches the Rfam family "Bacterial small subunit ribosomal RNA", at positions 94 to 833 of the family's 1533-position model. The record is from RNAcentral.
AGUGGCAAACGGCUGAGUAACGCGUAGGAACCUACCCCAAACUCGAGUAUAGCCCCGCGAAAGCGGGGGUAAUCCUCGAUAGUCCGUGAAGUAUUUUACUUCACGGUAAAGCUUUUGCGGUUUGGGAUGGGCCUGCGUCCUAUCAGGUAGUUGGUGAGGUAAGUGCUCACCAAGCCUAUGACGGGUAGCUGGUCUGAGAGGAUGGUCAGCCAGACUGGGACUGCGACACGGCCCAGACUCCUACGGGAGGCAGCAACUAGGAAUUGUGCGCAAUGGACGAAAGUCUGACGCCGCGACAUCGCGUGGAGGAUGAAGGUCUUCGGAUUGUAAACUCCUUUUCUUACCGAACAAGUUCUGAGUGUAGGUAAGGAAUAAGUGCCUGCUAACCACGUGCCAGAAGCAUCGGUAAUACGUGGGGCACGAGCGUUAUCCGGAUUUACUGGGCGUACAGAGAAGCGUAGGCGGCUCGAUAAGUUUGGUGUUAAAUCUUCCGGCUCAACCGGAAACAAGCACCGAAAACUAUCGAGAUUGAGUCGAGUAGGGAACAGGGGAAUUCCUGGUGGAGCGGUUACAUGCGUAGAUAUCAGGGGGAAUACCAAGGGCGAAGGCACCUCUUUGGACUCGUUACUGACGCUGAGGCUCGAAAGCGUGGGUAAGCCAAACGGAUUAGAUACCCGUGUAGUCCAAGCCGUAAACGAUCCCUGUUAGAUGUAUGUUUUGUC